AAAGUCCCGUCGUAGAAGGAGAACCGAUUCCACUACGUAGCGAGUCUUGCGUCGCCGUAGGUAACGAAGGCGACGAAGCGUAGAUAGCGAAACCGGCGAGCCAAAACCCGAGCGUAAGGGUGAACGAAGUCGAGCCUCGAAAUAAUAAAAGAACGUGAGAGCAGAUGGGCUAUAAAACCCAGCAAGCAACAGGCGAUUAGCAGAACUAAAUCGGGAAACAAAAGCUGCAAAUCACCUCCCACCGGGGUCAUAGACGU
Gammaproteobacteria bacterium GWE2_42_36 is the source of this 257-nucleotide non-coding RNA. The record is from Rfam. NCBI's taxonomy places the organism in Bacteria, Pseudomonadati, Pseudomonadota, Gammaproteobacteria.